CCUACGGGUGGCAGCAGUGGGGAAUAUUGCACAAUGGGGGAAACCCUGAUGCAGCAACGCCGCGUGAGUGAGGAAGUAUUUCGGUAUGUAAAGCUCUAUCAGCAGGGAAUAGAAACGCAGUUACCUGAAAACGAAGCACCGGCUAACUACGUGCCAGCAGCCGCGGUCAUACGGAGGGGGCAAGCGUUAUCCGGAUUUACUGGGUGUAAAGGGAGCGUAGACGGAAAGGCAAGUCAGAAGUGAAAACCCAAGGCUCAACCCUGGGGCUGCUUUCGAAACUGGCAAACUAGAGUCCGGGAGAGGCAAGAGGAAUUCCUAGUGUAGCGGUGAAAUGCGUAGAUAUUAGGAGGAACCCCAGUGGCGAAGGCGUCUUACUGGAGCGAAACUGACGUUGAGGCUCGAAAGCGUGGGGAGCAAACAGGAUUAGAUACCCUUGUAGUC
Molecule: ribosomal RNA, 441 nt
Filed under: uncultured bacterium
Lineage: Bacteria
Description: partial 16S ribosomal RNA
Rfam family: Bacterial small subunit ribosomal RNA
Source: RNAcentral